GCCUGGGUGGCUCAGUUGGUUAAGCGUCUGACUUCGGCUCAGGUCAUGAUCUCAUAGUCCGUGAGUUCAAGCCCCACGUCGGGCU
This 85-nucleotide transfer RNA is filed under the name Felis catus (domestic cat). It matches the Rfam family "tRNA". Rfam says of the family: Transfer RNA (tRNA) molecules are approximately 80 nucleotides in length. Their secondary structure includes four short double-helical elements and three loops (D, anti-codon, and T loops). Lineage: Eukaryota; Metazoa; Chordata; Mammalia; Carnivora; Felidae. The record is from Rfam by way of RNAcentral.